GCAGGUGUAGUUCAGUGGUAGAACAUCAGCCUUCCAAGCUGAUUAUGCGGGUUCGAUUCCCGUCACCUGCUCCA
RNAcentral lists this transfer RNA (74 nucleotides) under Mollicutes bacterium. Its description in RNAcentral is "tRNA-Gly". It matches the Rfam family "tRNA". Rfam says of the family: Transfer RNA (tRNA) molecules are approximately 80 nucleotides in length. Their secondary structure includes four short double-helical elements and three loops (D, anti-codon, and T loops). Further hydrogen bonds mediate the characteristic L-shaped molecular structure. tRNAs have two regions of fundamental functional importance: the anti-codon, which is responsible for specific mRNA codon recognition, and the 3' end, to which the tRNAs corresponding amino acid is attached (by aminoacyl-tRNA synthetases). tRNAs cope with the degeneracy of the genetic code in two manners: having more than one tRNA (with a specific anti-codon) for a particular amino acid; and 'wobble' base-pairing, i.e. permitting non-standard base-pairing at the 3rd anti-codon position. Lineage: Bacteria; Bacillati; Mycoplasmatota; Mollicutes. The record is from RNAcentral. RNAcentral also lists the same sequence under 5 other names.